This 5999-nucleotide long non-coding RNA is filed under the name Lupinus angustifolius (narrow-leaved blue lupine). RNAcentral describes it as "long non-coding RNA (LANG_LNC002702)". Lineage: Eukaryota; Viridiplantae; Streptophyta; Magnoliopsida; Fabales; Fabaceae. The record is from RNAcentral.
UGCACCCGAGCGUGCUUUUGCCGAUUUUGUUCUCUGCAAUGUGGUACUCCAUUUGGUGAUCAUGAACUUCCUUGGCUAAACAGGGUUCGUGUAACUCUUGUUGUUUCCAAUUGAGCUCUCGGACAAUAAAAAUGAAAAGUAGUAUACCUGGACAUAUCUCUUGCAAUAGUAUUUAUAGACAGUCACUGGCAUUUAACUGAUGUUAUGCUUUAGUUGAUGAAUAUUUUGGUCUUUUAUGGGGGUUCUGAACAAAGAGAUGUUAGAUGUUUAUUAUGAGAUAUUUUAAACUACUUUUUGAAUAGUGAAUCACCCAUGUUCAAAUGGAUAUCUAAAUCCUAGCACUAUCCAAAAGAUCAAAGUAAGGGUUUCUUAAGGCUUUUGCAUAUAGCAUGAAAUAUCUGAUCAAGAUGAAAACAAAACUUCUAGUCCACAGUUGUGAGAAAUGAAUUCUGAUUCAUUAUGUCUCGCCUUUUAUCAUACUCAAGUUGCUUAUAAUUCAGUAAUUAUAAAUAUUUAUAUACCUUGUCAAUUCAUCAUUCCUAGUUGCUUGUGCUCACUACUAACCUAUCCAGCACCACCAUGGUUUCUUUCUAUAUGUGGCUACACCCUUAACUCCUUCACUUUUAACCUAUCCACAAUGGAUUCUAGUAUGCUCUUUGAAUAAGAGGGUAUCACACAAGGAUAGUUUUUAUGUCAAUCUUGCCUAACAAGCACUUUGUUCAAUUCCAUCACUUUCUUUCAAAUUGAGGUGUCUAACGCCAAACUCUUAGAAAGGACACAAGAAUGGCAAAGGAAUGUCGAAUAGAGUGAAUCACUUCCACUUUGGGUGUACUUUUGGAGCUCCAUCUUACCGUAAGAUGGAGAAGAUUGAGUGAAGUUAAGGAGAUAGAUGCAUUGUCACCAUUCAUGAAUCCUAAUAUUUCUCUAACCUUAUUUUAUGUUUUUGGUAAAUGUAUGUACAAUGUAAAAAAAAAAUUAUAUCCUAAUAAAACUCCCUCCCCAGUGCCGAUUUUGGGGAGGAGAGAGAAAUUUUUUUACAGAAAUCGGCAAUCCCAUUGCCGAUUUCUAAAAAGUUAUACUAGUUUGGUAAUUUUUUUAAAAGGUGCACCAAAACCGUAAUUUUUCGGUCAAGGUGCACCACAUGUGUAAAUUUUCCGAAAAUUGUAGUACUUGAUAGAGAUGGUAUGCCAUGUCAUAGAUGAACAGUCCACAUAUUAAAAUAUUUUAAAAUAAAACGAGUGCUAGGACCUUGGGAUUUUUUUAUUCAUAUCCAUUUGUCUCCUUCCAGUAUUUCUUCAUGUCCAGUUUUGAAUCUAAUUAUAUAUAUUUAAUAUAAUUUAAUAAUUAAAAUUAUAUUAAAUAAUAGAAAAAAUUACAGUAAGAUCCUCUAAGUUUUAGUGAAAUUACGCAACUCAACCUCACUUUUUCUACACCUACGUAAACCCCUUAAUUUUAAUACAUUCAUUAUACUCACCACCUCUAUAUGAGAAAUAAGUAUAUUCUUUUAAACAAAAAAGGUGAUAAAUACAAUUAAUUUAAACAAAACAUGGUAUAUCAUGGAGAGAAGUCCAAAUAAUAUACUAAAAGAUGAAUAAUACAUCUAUAUUAUUGGAGACUAAAAGAAGUAUAAUGUGAGAUAUUUAUACUCAAGGAAGUCUAACCGAUUGAUUACAAUUGAAUUAACUAACUUAACAAUAAGAGGGAGAUGAAUAUUUUGAGUAACUUGUGGGUCAAUUAACAUAAUGGUAGGGACCAGGUUGGUUGGUUUGGUGCGCCAACCUGGCCAACUUGUGCGUCAAUCUAGUGUAUAGUUGAUGUGUCUUGUCGUGGAGAGCCUCGGUCAGAGUGUAGGGGUGUGAUUCACCUUCGUGCGCCAAGUUAGUAUGUGUUUGAUGCGCCUCAUCGGGGUGUGCCUCGGUCAGGGUGUGUGAGCAUGAUAUACCUUGGUGUGCCAAGUUAGUGUGUGUCUGAUGUGCCUGACCAUGAUGUGUCUCGGUUAGGGUGUGAGAAUCUGAUGCGCCUUGGUGCGAUGUGUCUCAGUUAGAGUCAGUUUGUGAUGCAUGUGAUAUACGGUCAGGAGACCUUAGCCUAUUGGUGUGUUUGGGCUUGACUCGGUCAUUUGGUUCGAUGUCUUGUGCAUGUUUGGCCUGUGAUACUUGAUCAUAUUUGUUGGUGCUUGGCUCAUAUCUUCUUGUACUUGUAGAACGAAUAAAAAACAAAUAAAUAUAAAAUAAAGUGAUAUGAUGAUGAGAAAUAAAAUAGAUGAAAUAUGGUUAAAUUAAUAUGUCCUAGCAUAACUCUCAUUAAUAGAAUAAAAAUUACAUCGUGUAAAUAAGAUAGGAUGAGUCAAAAGGAUGAUAAUAUUAUAUUUCAUCAUCUCAAAAAACCAAAUAUUAGAACAUGAUAUGACUACCAUAUUAUAUUAUAUCGCUAUUAUCAUAGUCAACGGUGCAAAUGUGUAUGAAGAGAACAAUAUUUUGACUCUUUAUUGUAAUAGAGUUGACAGAACAAAUCAACCCACCUAAUAGCAUGGUUUCGAAUACAAAAAAUUUAAAGUAAUAAAUGACAUGAAAAUGAGUUUUAUCAGCAAACUAUCAUUUUAACAAAGUCUAACACAUAUUAAGAGUUCAACUCUUAAUAUAUGGAAAAUUGUUUGUUGAAAAAUGUGGAUUUUUUGUUUCAAAAAGAUUAAUUACCAAUUCUUAAUAAAAAUAUGGUUUUGUGAAAGAUUAUUCUAACACAUGUUUUGACAAUGCCUUCUCCAUUGGUUACUAUAGGCUCAUACACUAUAUCUCGAACAUUAUUGAGUAAUGAAUAUUAACCUCCAAAUCAGUUUAUGAAGCUUUCUAACAUAAUAUUGUUGUAGAUCCUAGACAAAUAUGAGGAAACUGAAGUGGGAUGACCCAUUCAAAAUAUGCAUAAUGGCUUAUGGAUGAAUAGCAUAUAUGGAAAUCUAAUAUUGUAGAAGAUCCAAUUUACCUAAGUAAAACAUAAAUGAUUUUGCACUUACUUCAUCACGGUAGGUGUGUGAGACAUUUCUAAGACAAUUUGAUCUCUUUGAAUAACUAGUAAGCUUUUUCAACAAUGACUUGAAAGAUCAGAUAAGAGGGAAUCUCGAUAAUUCUGCAUUAGCUACAAUAAAUAAUAUUCAACCUCAAGAUUUUGGCCUUGUUCUUUGGUCGAUUUGGAAAAUGAGGAAUAAUGUGGUUUUCAAGGCAAAGACUUGCAACAACUUUACUACAAUGCAAGUAAGAAGGCAAUGAAAAAUGCAAAUAAUAACAACAUGGGCAUUCUUCCUCCUUUCACUUCAUGUCUAUAGUCAAAUUUUAGUGAGUUUGGACCCCUCCAUUGGGUUGGGUUGGUUUAAAUAUAAUGUGGACGAGUCUGUUAAGAAGAUAAGUAACAUGAUGGAUUGUGGUUGAAUUUGUAGAGAUGACUCAGGAAGAUAGAUGUUUGACUUUUGCAAUAACUUGAGAGUUUUUAAUGGCUUAUGAGUAGAACUUUGAAGCUUAUUCCCAACUCUUACUCAAGCAUGAAGUAAGGUUUAAACGAAAGUAAUACUCAAAUGGAUUUCCAAUUGGUUGUCAACUUGGUUAACAAUGGUUAUGACCAUGGAUGGGGAUCUGUUGUACCCAACCACGUUCCCUGACCAAUCAUAAUAAAGCAAAAUUGAUAAAGUUAGAAUAUUUAAAUUUUUUUAAUUGACUGGCAUAAUAUGAUUGGUCUGGGACAGAGUUUGGGACAGCAGAUCCUUAUCCUAUGACCAUCAUCAUCCAUAUGUUUUUUUGGAGGAAAUCAUUAGAACCUAGUUGAAAAGAGAUUGGACAAUUGGAUGUUUUCACUUUCAUAGAGAAGCAAAUCAUAUGACAAAUUUCAUUGCAAAUAUGUUUCAUUAUCUAAAUCUGGAUACUCAUGUGAUGGAUCUUCCUUCAACUAGAUGCAGAGAUUUCCUCUCAUAAUGUUUUAGACUUUAGUAUAACUUUCUCUGCAUAUCCCCUCCCAAUAAAAAAAGUUAGUCAUGAGGGUUGACUAGUACACAAAAACAGCAUUGAAUAAUUGGCACAAAAAAUCCAUGAUUUAUUAUCAAUUAUUAAUAUCAAUAAUAAUAAUAACUAUGCCCUCUAAGUGAUAUUUGGUAGUAAUAAAAAAAUGUUCAUACAGUUUAAAAUCUGUCGACCGAUAAUAUAAGGUUUUUUACACUGUUAUUACAUCAUCCACCAUUGAUUUGCAUUACUUUUGUUUAAGAGUCAAUGAUAAUUAAUAAAUCAAUAAUGGAUAAUUGACUGAUAGUGUAAAAAACAUUUAAAUCGUGAUUGUAUACAUAUUAAAUCUAGAUCCAUAAUCACAGAAAAACUUGAGUAUUUUUUUGUUGUUGCUACAGAAGGCUGAGAAGAAACAGACAAAUUUUUCUAUAGUCACACUGGUAGAGCGAAAAAAAGCGAAGAAAGGGUUUUGUUCGAGUUUCGAAAAUGGCGAGGUCGACGAGUAAGGAUGCCCAAGAUCUCUUCCGCGCUCUGUGGUCUUCUUAUUCCGCAGCCCCCACUAAUCUCAAGGUAACUCCUCUCUCUCUCUCUCUCUCUUUCUCUUAAUCUUUUCAAAAUCUGAUUUUUAUUUUUCAAACUCAUACCAAUUCUUCUCUCUUCAGAUCAUUGAUCUCUAUGUCAUCUUCGCUGUUUUCACCGCCCUUAUCCAGGUACUUUCCAACCUUAAUUUCCGUUAGAUCUCACCUUUUCACGUUAAUUGUUGUUGUUUGCUGUCCAUGUUGUGAUCACAAUUGCGGUUGCGAUUUCGGCGAUUCCCAAAACCUUGACAUAUUGACAUUCGGUCGCGAACCCAGAUUUAAAACCUUGUCAAUUAUAUAGCUUAACUAGAUAGAUCUGAGGUUUAUGAUGUUGUAGCCCAUGCCAUCUGGUCAUAAAUAAAACAUGUUGAUGGAAAGCGGAAAUGUGAAACAUUUUGUAAUGAAAGUUACUUCAUGAGAAGGUAUAAACUAAGGAUUAUUUAUUUUGUUUUAAGAGGAGUGUUCUCAUUCUCACCAUAGCUGUAAAAUAAAUUGUUACAUGUUUGUAUCCUUAUGAAUUUAAGUUACCACUACCAGCUUAUGCCGAAACUUUGUUGUUUUAAAUUUAUGAACAGGUAGCUUAUGUCGCUUUGGUGGGAUCAUUUCCAUUUAACUCCUUCCUUUCCGGAGUGCUUUCUUGCGUAGGGACUGCAGUUCUUGCUGGUGAGUCGCAAAAAUCAAUUAACAAUUUGCAGCCUUGGCUAAUGAUUAUGCACACUAAUAUUUAUGUACAUAUGAGACUUCUAAGCCUGCUAUAUACAUACAUAUAUAUAUAUAUGUAUAUGUAUGUAUGUAUUGAUAUGCAUUUGUUUGUUCUUGUCUUUCUUAUCAUUGCUAUCCUCUUUUACUUUGGAACAGUUUGUCUCAGGAUCCAAGUGAAUAAGGAGAAUAAGGAAUUCAAGGUAAAUAUUCUUUUCUUGUCUGUCCGUUUUGAUGUAUAUGAGUCAAAUUGAAACCCAUGAUUACCCUUGCAAGUUGCAACGCAGAAUUUUUUUAGUUUUCUUUCAUUUUUUUCCGUUAUAAUAUAUUUCAGCAACCUAUCAUAAUUAUGUAGAUUUUGAACUUAGACCACUGCAUCUUUGAUUAUAAAAACAAAGCAGAAGGGAAAUAGUGAACUGAUAUUUUGUCUACAUACUGGUCACUUCACUUGGUAUAUUCUUACACACAUUUGGUCAACCUAUUGCAGGAUCUUGCACCCGAGCGUGCUUUUGCCGAUUUUGUUCUCUGCAAUGUGGUACUCCAUUUGGUGAUCAUGAACUUCCUUGGCUAAACAGGGUUCGUGUAACUCUUGUUGUUUCCAAUUGAGCUCUCGGACAAUAAAAAUGAAAAGUAGUAUACCUGGACAUAUCUCUUGCAAUAGUAUUUAUAGACAGUCACUGGCAUUUAACUGAUGUUAUGCUUUAGUUGAUGAAUAUUUUGGUCUUUUAUGGGGGUUCUG